UGUGAAAUCCCCGGGCUCAACCUGGGAACUGCAUCUGAUACUGGCAAGCUUGAGUCUCGUAGAGGGGGGUAGAAUUCCAGGUGUAGCGGUGAAAUGCGUAGAGAUCUGGAGGAAUACCGGUGGCGAAAGCGGCCCCCUGGACGAAGACUGACGCUCAGGUGCGAAAGCGUGGGGAGCAAACAGGAUUAGAUACCCUGGUAGUCCACGCCGUAAACGAUGUCGACUUGGAGGUUGUGCCCUUGAGGCGUGGCUUCC
This 255-nucleotide ribosomal RNA is filed under the name Escherichia coli. RNAcentral's name for it is "partial 16S ribosomal RNA". It matches the Rfam family "Bacterial small subunit ribosomal RNA", at positions 593 to 847 of the family's 1533-position model. The record is from RNAcentral. Lineage: Bacteria; Pseudomonadati; Pseudomonadota; Gammaproteobacteria; Enterobacterales; Enterobacteriaceae.